RNAcentral lists this ribosomal RNA (430 nucleotides) under uncultured bacterium. Its description in RNAcentral is "bacterial SSU rRNA". It matches the Rfam family "Bacterial small subunit ribosomal RNA", at positions 354 to 776 of the family's 1533-position model. The record is from RNAcentral.
GUGGGGAAUAUUGGACAAUGGGCGCAAGCCUGAUCCAGCCAUGCCGCGUGAGUGAAGAAGGCCCUCGGGUUGUAAAGCUCUUUUGUCCGGAAAGAAAAGCACUUGGCUAAUACCCAGGUGUCCUGACGGUACCGGAAGAAUAAGCACCGGCUAACUUCGUGCCAGCAGCCGCGGUAAUACGAAGGGUGCAAGCGUUACUCGGAAUUACUGGGCGUAAAGCGUGCGUAGGUGGUUCGUUAAGUCUGAUGUGAAAGCCCUGGGCUCAACCUGGGAAUUGCAUUGGAUACUGGCGGGCUAGAGUACGGUAGAGGGUGGCGGAAUUCCCGGUGUAGCAGUGAAAUGCGUAGAGAUCGGGAGGAACAUCCGUGGCGAAGGCGGCCACCUGGACCAGUACUGACACUGAGGCACGAAAGCGUGGGGAGCAAACAGG